RNAcentral lists this ribosomal RNA (461 nucleotides) under uncultured Desulfobulbus sp. RNAcentral describes it as "bacterial SSU rRNA". It matches the Rfam family "Bacterial small subunit ribosomal RNA", at positions 925 to 1382 of the family's 1533-position model. The record is from RNAcentral. Lineage: Bacteria; Pseudomonadati; Thermodesulfobacteriota; Desulfobulbia; Desulfobulbales; Desulfobulbaceae.
ACAAGCGGUGGAGUAUGUGGUUUAAUUCGAUGCAACGCGAAGAACUUACCUGGUCUUGACAUCCCGGAGACCCUUAGGAAACUAGGGGUGCUUCCAUCUGGAAGAAUCUGGAGACAGGUGCUGCAUGGCUGUCGUCAGCUCGUGUCGUGAGAUGUUGGGUUAAGUCCCGCAACGAGCGCAACCCUUGCCUUUAGUUGCCAGCAGUUCGGCUGGGCACUCUAAAGGGACUGCCGGUGUUAAACCGGAGGAAGGUGGGGAUGACGUCAAGUCCUCAUGGCCUUUAUGACCAGGGCUACACACGUACUACAAUGGCCGAUACAAAGGGCAGCGACACUGCGAGGUGAAGCCAAUCCCGUAAAAUCGGUCUCAGUCCGGAUUGGAGUCUGCAACUCGACUCCAUGAAGUUGGAAUCGCUAGUAAUCGUGGAUCAGCAUGCCACGGUGAAUACGUUCCCGGGCCUU